Molecule: long non-coding RNA, 1025 nt
Organism: Equus caballus (horse)
Lineage: Eukaryota; Metazoa; Chordata; Mammalia; Perissodactyla; Equidae
Source: RefSeq, a predicted model, not a curated record
AGCAUCUCUAAAAAUAAAACUAGCUAUCCAAAGGAAAUAAAGACAUAAAGGUAUUUUAGUGCUUUUUCCUGGUGUCGCAAGCAUCUGGACAGGUGAUGGUGGCUCGAACGAGGGUUGGGACAGUGAAGACGGAGAGAAAUAGACUGAACUGUGAAAUAGUUUGGCGGUAACAGAAACCGCAAUUGCACCAUUAGUCUCCUGCUGAGACUGCAAAAUUCCUCUCAGAUAAUUACUAGAUUUUUCAAGGUCAGAGAGUGACAGGAUUACGGCAGACCUUUGCCUAAAUCCCAUUAGAAUGCAAAUCUCCUGGAGAAAGAUAGCAUCCUCUCAAUCCUUAUCAAGCCUUAUCACCUUCGUGUGACUAAUUUGACAACAUCUGACCCUGAGGAGAAGCAAGUACACAGUGGAAUCUAAGUGCCCAGGGCAGGAGUCCCCAGCCCAAGGGCCUACUUGGCCUGGCAGGUAAAGUGAGUAAGUGAAGCACCCCGACCCCACAAAGAGGAUGAAUUGCAGCCAAUGCUGUUGCCAGGCAACGGGAGAGCGCUGAGAACAAUGGGCACUUGCAGAUCAAGGCCUCCGCCAGAGGGACCCCAGCUUCCCCAGCCCGGCCCCUUGCUAGCACAAGACGAGAGCAGCCGUCCUUGACCACGUUUCCUUGUACUGCCCUGCCAUCGCUCCUGUUCAGAGAGAAGUGGUCUUCAGCGGCGCACUGGUUCUGCUGUCAAACGAGAAGCGUGUCUACAAGGAAUGUGUCCGGCCUCUUCCUAUUUCUCUCAAGGUGCUGUAUGAACAUGGGUUGCUGGCUCCCUCCACCAUCUGCCCCAGAAAAGCUAUAGAAGCAGAUGCAAGCACUCAUCUGAGAGGAUUAUCAGCAAGCCCGCAAACUUCCUCUGGCAAAACCCCAACUCUGCAUCAAGUGUCUUCAUCCUAGCUGAACACCAACGAGGGGGGAAAAACAUGUAUGCGUGUGUGUGUGCACACUCCCCCGACACAGGUGAGUGCCUAGAUUCCUACUCUAAACUGAC